Molecule: non-coding RNA, 437 nt
Organism: Paramuricea clavata
Lineage: Eukaryota; Metazoa; Cnidaria; Anthozoa; Malacalcyonacea; Plexauridae
Source: the annotation of a GenBank genome assembly
GUUCCGUGCCGACCCCAUUUUACCAAGACGAUAUACCAGCCGGGUUAAAAAGAUUUAAGUAUGUCGGUACUAUUUAAAUAAUGAAGUGUUCAGUGAAGGAACCCCGUAAUUUGGCCGUAUUACCAGAGUGGUCGUAUUAAUGGGGUAUCUUUAUAAGAAAAUGUAUUGUCUUGGCGUUUCCAGAACACUUCAGUAGUUUAUAAAUGUGGAAUUUGAUCCAGUUACUUCUGUUUCUAGAAUUAUAGCCUGCGAACAGGCUCUCAAGUUGAAUUGAGAGCCUGCAUCGAUGACUAAUGAAUUUGAAUAUCUGCCCCGUAACGUUCGUUUUUCCAAAUAUGGAAUGUCUAUCCUUAUAUGGUGUUGUUUACAACUUUCGUGCAAACUAAAUUUAGACCGUACAAACUAAAUUUAGACCGUACAGUUUAUACUGUUUUUCG